Molecule: long non-coding RNA, 104 nt
Organism: Octopus sinensis (East Asian common octopus)
Lineage: Eukaryota; Metazoa; Mollusca; Cephalopoda; Octopoda; Octopodidae
Exons: 3
Source: RefSeq, a predicted model, not a curated record
AUCAAUGAAAGUUUGAAACAAACUGGAGUUUAGUGGUUUUGACAGUCUUAUAUUUUUGGUAGGGGACAAUUAGUGUUGAAUGCAAAAAAUAUGAGUAGGUCGAA